Molecule: unclassified non-coding RNA, 845 nt
Filed under: Hevea brasiliensis (rubber tree)
Lineage: Eukaryota; Viridiplantae; Streptophyta; Magnoliopsida; Malpighiales; Euphorbiaceae
Source: RNAcentral
UAGAUAUUUAAUUUAAGAGCGACCAAUUAAGGCUUUCUAAAGGAGCAUGCAAGGAUUGGUAGCCAGAGCUAUUAUUAUUUCCCUGUAGGCUUUUGAGAGCGAAUAUUUCUCUCAAAGUUCAUCUUGCUAUUCGUCUCUCAAGACCGUUGAGUUUUUCAGUUUUCAAAGGCUCCCUUGUCCUUUAAGGCAAGGGAAGAUGCUUGUUCUAGUCUAACUGAGGUCUAUCCCCCUCUCAACUGGGCUAGAAGUGUAUAGUCCUUAGUUAGUUCGUGUUCUUGCAGGUGUGGAUGAAAAUGGGAGAGUUUCCAGUGAAGACCUGCUAAAUGGAUAUGUGUUUUGCUGUCUGUUUGGGUGCCACUGAAUAUAGAGGGUCUCUUGCUUGUUUGAUGGAAGUAACUUUAGGUCCUUGUGCCAACCGGAUCUAGUAGCUGCCGACCCCCAUCUGGCUACACGAGAUUGAGACGCCAAGAGCUCUGCCUCAUCCCCUGUGAACGGUCGUCGGCGAUGGCUAUGCUUUCUAGUUUUCGAGGUCCAGUGUAUGGCGGAGAUGAAGCUCCAAUUGGGACUACAAAGAAAGAGGCAGGCUCCAGCUACUGAAUCCUUUGGUUGGUGCUUUUCCAUCCACCGAAUCCAACUCCAGCUUCUAGGAGGAGCAGUAGUGAUGCUUUUUGAUGUUGCUCUUGUGUUUUCCCAUGGUUAAUGAGAUAUAGGGUAGGGUUUCCUUGGGUUGGAAUGUUUUCUGUUUGGGCUGAGUUCCUGGGCCUUAGAGAUGACUCAUUGUGUACAAGAUGUAAUGUUUUGCCCUAUGGGCCAUAAAAUGCAACUAUGCAAUUGAAAAAAAAAAA